RNAcentral lists this transfer RNA (85 nucleotides) under Candidatus Wildermuthbacteria bacterium RIFCSPHIGHO2_12_FULL_40_12. RNAcentral describes it as "tRNA-Leu". It matches the Rfam family "tRNA". Rfam says of the family: Transfer RNA (tRNA) molecules are approximately 80 nucleotides in length. Lineage: Bacteria; Candidatus Wildermuthiibacteriota. The record is from RNAcentral.
GCCGGAGUGGCGGAACUGGCAGACGCGCACGGUUCAGGGCCGUGUAUCGUAAGAUGUGAGGGUUCGACUCCCUCCUCCGGCACAA